GAUGAACGCUGGCGGCGUGCCUAAUACAUGCAAGUCGAGCGAACAGACGAGGAGCUUGCUCCUCUGACGUUAGCGGCGGACGGGUGAGUAACACGUGGAUAACCUACCUAUAAGACUGGGAUAACUUCGGGAAACCGGAGCUAAUACCGGAUAAUAUAUUGAACCGCAUGGUUCAAUAGUGAAAGACGGUUUUGCUGUCACUUAUAGAUGGAUCCGCGCCGCAUUAGCUAGUUGGUAAGGUAACGGCUUACCAAGGCAACGAUGCGUAGCCGACCUGGUAGGGUGGUCGGCCGCACUGGAGCGGGGACACGGUCCAGGCUCCUACGGGAGGCAGCAGUAGGGAAUCUUCCGCAAUGGGCGAAAGCUUGACGGAGCAACGCCGCGUGAGUGAUGAAGGUCUUCGGAUCGUAAAACUCUGUUAUUAGGGAAGAACAAAUGUGUAAGUAACUAUGCACGUCUUGACGGUACCUAAUCAGAAAGCCACGGCUAACUACGUG
This 497-nucleotide ribosomal RNA is filed under the name uncultured bacterium. Its description in RNAcentral is "partial 16S ribosomal RNA". It matches the Rfam family "Bacterial small subunit ribosomal RNA", at positions 28 to 507 of the family's 1533-position model. The record is from RNAcentral.